RNAcentral lists this long non-coding RNA (293 nucleotides) under Pongo abelii (Sumatran orangutan). Its description in RNAcentral is "lincRNA". Lineage: Eukaryota; Metazoa; Chordata; Mammalia; Primates; Hominidae. The record is from RNAcentral.
UGAGACUACUGGUGUGUGCCACCAAGCCCAGCUCAUGACCCACUUUCAAUUCUCAUCUUCCAAAAGAAAAAGAUUUCUGGACUCACGAAUCUGUAGCAAGAUCCAGGACUUAGGAGAGAGGACAUGUGGAGAUCCAUGACGGUCAGUGCCAAGUCUCUAGUCCUCUGGAAUGAACUCAAUUUUAAUGGAGCAUGAAGAUUUACCUACAUAUUAGAGGCAUUCUACAACCUUGGAUGAAAAAAGAAACCACAUUCUCUGGUUCAAUUCCAUAAUAAAUUUGGACUUUUCAGUCA